UUUUUACUUAGCAGGAGCGUGGUCUCCUUUGUGAAAUAUUCUGUUUCACUCUUGGUUUCUCCAUUUACCACUCUUUGGGGGUAAGAUUUUGAGUUUGGUGCUGGAUUCUUCUCCAUUGUACCUAUACCUGAAUCAACACUUAUGGGCAAGAGCAGGUGUUUCAUACUUGAAGUGGAGGAUUCUAAAACAGAGUGUUGAACAAUAUUUAGAGGUUUACUUACUCUGCUAUCACUCAUAGCAUCUUGCAUUGACUCAGCUUUG
This 261-nucleotide long non-coding RNA is filed under the name Brassica napus (rape). RNAcentral describes it as "long non-coding RNA (BNAP_LNC013754)". Lineage: Eukaryota; Viridiplantae; Streptophyta; Magnoliopsida; Brassicales; Brassicaceae. The record is from RNAcentral.